UGUCCAGUGAUGGGAAUCGAACCCACAGUGUUCCGCUUACCGGGCAGAUGCCAUGUCCACUAGGCUACCCUGGAC
This is a non-coding RNA of Cordylochernes scorpioides, 75 nucleotides long. The record is from the annotation of a GenBank genome assembly. Lineage: Eukaryota; Metazoa; Arthropoda; Arachnida; Pseudoscorpiones; Chernetidae.